GCCUUGAAAAUUUUACAGCUUGUCUUUGAGUCCAGUCGUGUCAUGUUAGAUGAUUGUCAUUAUUGUCCCUCCUUUAUAAUGAAUAUCAUCUCUGUAGGUCUUUUGGCCAAACUUGGUUACAAGUUUAUAAUAAAGGAUGAUUUUUGUGAUAUCAUUAUGAAUGAUACUACAAUUAUGCGUGGAUAAUUAAAACAUAGCAUAUAC
RNAcentral lists this long non-coding RNA (204 nucleotides) under Elaeis guineensis (African oil palm). RNAcentral's name for it is "long non-coding RNA (EGUI_LNC002361)". Lineage: Eukaryota; Viridiplantae; Streptophyta; Magnoliopsida; Arecales; Arecaceae. The record is from RNAcentral.